Molecule: long non-coding RNA, 405 nt
Organism: Eriocheir sinensis (Chinese mitten crab)
Lineage: Eukaryota; Metazoa; Arthropoda; Malacostraca; Decapoda; Varunidae
Exons: 4
Source: RefSeq, a predicted model, not a curated record
UUCCGAUGGUCACUCCACGAGGAAGAGGAAGAGGAAGUUGAGGAGGAAGAGGAAGAGGAGGAGGAGAACACGAGACGAAAGGAUUAUUUGCAAGAGGAACACCUUUAAGCUUCGUAACGUGUACUCACGUUGCGGUGUCUGUCAUAGUUGACGGAGAACCUCGCGUCCUUGCUGUACGUCUGGCGGCCCACGGUGAUGAGGUGGUGGUCGCGCAGGCGAAUCCACGACACCUGGGAACGACAAGGCCAGACAGGUAAGGAGUCCCCAGCGAAGGAGGGAAUAGCGGAAAGGAAGUAGAGAUAAGGUAAGAUUGUAUAAAAUGUAAGAUUGGAACUAUUCUUGUGCAGUUUUUGUUGUAUAAGUUUUUUUCUGAGUGGAUUGGAGAAAUAGAAGGAAGGAAGGAAG